RNAcentral lists this ribosomal RNA (254 nucleotides) under uncultured bacterium. RNAcentral describes it as "partial 16S ribosomal RNA". It matches the Rfam family "Bacterial small subunit ribosomal RNA", at positions 524 to 776 of the family's 1533-position model. The record is from RNAcentral.
UACGUAGGCAGCGAGCGUUGUUCGGAGUUACUGGGCGUAAAGGGUGUGUAGGCGGUUGUUUAAGUUUGGUGUGAAAUCUCCCGGCUCAACUGGGAGGGUGCGCCGAAUACUGAAUGACUUGGAGUGCGGGAGAGGAGAGUGGAAUUCCUGGUGUAGCGGUGAAAUGCGUAGAUAUCGGAAGGAACACCAGUGGCGAAAGCGGCUUCCUGGUCCGACACCGACGUUCAGGCACGAAAGCGUGGGGAGCAAACAGG